GUUCAACUUCAAAUUGAGAUUGCUCCUUCAUUUUUAAUCCAAAUUAAGUGAUUCAAAAGGCAAACUUCAAGAGAAUUUCGAGGGGAAUCUAGCGGUGAUCUCGAAAACGCGAGGGGAGGCUUCGUUGAGUGGGGAAGCAUUUGGAGACCGUUCGGAGAGGAAAAGAUCCGGUACCGUGAGUUGGAGCACGCGUGAUCGGCUUUCAGGUCCGAGCACUAGUAGCCAGCGUUGAUCGAGCUUGGAGUAGACUUAUCUGGAGACGGGGGGAUGGCUCGCACGCGUGGUAGGGCCCCAGCUAGGGGUAGAGGCCGACCUCGAGGUCGUGCCAGAGCUACAGCACCAGCCCAGGACCGAGAGCAAACUCCAGAGCCGGUGAUAGAGCCACCAGCAGCUCCAGCACCGCAGCAGCCGAUGGGUCCGGGAUCAGCCCAGCCACCGCCCGAGCCUGUGGCAGCUCCAGAUAUACAGGCGAUGCUCGUACAGAUACUAGCUGCCAUUGGGGGUAUGCAGCAGGCCCCAGCUCCAGUUGUUCCAGUACCGCAGGGCCAGCCUACACCAGCGGCACCGAUUGUC
This is a long non-coding RNA of Solanum stenotomum, 573 nucleotides long. RefSeq lists it as uncharacterized. The transcript is spliced from 4 exons. The record is from RefSeq and is a predicted model, not a curated record. Lineage: Eukaryota; Viridiplantae; Streptophyta; Magnoliopsida; Solanales; Solanaceae.